UACGGGGGGGGCAAGCGUUGUUCGGAAUUACUGGGCGUAAAGGGCGCGUAGGCGGUUUGCUAAGUUGGAUGUGAAAACUCUGGGCUUAACCCAGAGCCUGCAUCCAAAACUGGCAAACUUGAGUACUGGAGGGGAAAGCGGAAUUCCUGGUGUAGCGGUGAAAUGCGUAGAUAUCGGGAGGAACACCGGUGGCGAAGGCGGUUCUCUGGGCCUUACCUGACGCUGAGGAGCGAAAGCGUGGGGAGCGAACAGG
RNAcentral lists this ribosomal RNA (253 nucleotides) under uncultured bacterium. RNAcentral describes it as "partial 16S ribosomal RNA". It matches the Rfam family "Bacterial small subunit ribosomal RNA", at positions 524 to 776 of the family's 1533-position model. The record is from RNAcentral.